UUUUGCAUCACUUUUAGUGUGAUUCUUUUGU
This 31-nucleotide non-coding RNA is filed under the name Mus musculus (house mouse). Lineage: Eukaryota; Metazoa; Chordata; Mammalia; Rodentia; Muridae. The record is from RNAcentral.